AGUCGCUCUCGGAAUUUGGAUGAAUUCAGACGUAUCACCCUCUCGGCCGUAUUAAGAAAAAUUCGAUCAGAGUCGACAGCACUUGUGACAAGAGCAGUUGGUGAUGGAAGUCGAAGCAGUGAUAAAAGGCAACGAUGUGGGAUGUGAUUCUGAAUUCUAAGGCAAUGGCUUUCAAUUUUACGCCUAUUGUAGAUGUUCAGAUCUUUUGGACGUCUAAGAUAUCUGGUGACAAGUUCAUUUGAACGGGUGAUUAAUGGGACUAGCACGUUAAAAGUGCGCCAUGCUUUUUUUUAUAACAAAACACUACCUUAACAGUGUGAAAGAGAAGGAGUGAAUCUCGAGGUGAACAGCAAUGGCGCGAGCUAACUCGUACCCUGACGCACAAAUAGCUCGGCGAAUAAAAAAUAAAUGAUAUCGUGCACAACGUAUUUCGAGACAAAUAUUUCUGGAGAUUCAUGCUGUCUCGUGCGUGUCCCUUGAAACAUAAAAUAUAUGAGAAAACGAUUUUUUCGUUACAAGUUGGAAACACUCUUUUAUCAUUGUAUUUUGCUGAACGACCCUGAGACUUCGAGGGAGAGAUAGUCGAGGAAGUGGAAGCAGUAAAAUGAAUUGGAGGCCGUACGCAUUCCUGAAAUUCCAACUUGUCCUGCUCUACUCGUGCGUCCUGGUUUCGCCUUUUUGCACCCUUUUCUCUUUCGAUGGCCAUGAGAAAGUUUAACCCCCAGAAAUAUUCUCAUGGAUUAUGCAAAGUGUAACGCGGUCAAUAGUCUGAGGGGUCUUGUCGAAUCUCCAUGGAACAUUGAAGCAAUAGAAAAUGAGAAUGGAGUGACUUCAUGGGAGUGAAGGAAUUGAAACUUGGGAAUUUUCAGCAACGAGCUGUUUUAAUUACAGGCCAAUCAUUGCCCCUACUGAUCGUAAACACUGGUUGGGUUCUUACCCUCUUUGUAUACACAUCUGUCUAUCUGCCUGCCUGCAGAAUCAUUGAAACGGGAAACUGGUCCAUGUGUAUCUUAUUGGUG
Cephus cinctus (wheat stem sawfly) is the source of this 1019-nucleotide long non-coding RNA. RefSeq lists it as uncharacterized. Lineage: Eukaryota; Metazoa; Arthropoda; Insecta; Hymenoptera; Cephidae. The transcript has 3 exons. The record is from RefSeq and is a predicted model, not a curated record.